GGGGUGGGGAAGGGGGGGAGAGAAUGAAUUUUUAAAUAUGAAAAGCCUCAGUUUUAGAGAACAACAUUUUUCGUUAGGCAUCAUGAAUUUCCCAAAUAGGUCUCACUAUAGCAUCAGGUUGUCAGCGCCAGCAGGUGUUAACCCAUCCACCUGAGUAUGGUUCUCACAGUUUGUGUUUUCUCUUUGGAGGAAAUCCAGUUGGGACAUUGAAGAGUUUGAUGACAAUUAUAACUAAGAAGAUGGGUGGAGAAAGUGGGGAGUGACUGUUUGGCUCAGACACAGAAGUUCUGUCCAGUGAAAUACACAUAUUAUGAGAAACAUACCAUCUAUUCAAUCCCAUAUUUUUAAGAAAAAUUUCCAAAAACUGCUGGAGAACUAUCUUUCAUCCAGUUUCUUUAGAGCUUCAGUCGCCAAUGCAAACAACCAGUUUUCAAGAAGGAUGUGACAAUACAGCACAUGGACUGUAAAACAACCCAGAAAAUAGACAUAUUGAAAGAACUCCAAUUUUUAAAUAUGUCUCAGAAUUCCAGCAUAAAUCUUCCUGGAAAAAUAGCAGUGCACUUCCCAUGACAGUAGGAGAGAGAUGUCACUUCAUUUUAAUUUGCAUUCCUGUGGUCAUCACUUCUAAUAAUUGCAGUGACAACCUUGGAAAGCCUUAAAUUCUGGGAGUUUUUCAUCUCCAAAGUUCUUUAACUCUCUGAAGGUUGAUGUCUUCUUGGUAACCCUGUAGGCUGGAGGCUGGUCAUGUCAUGUAGGAGCUAUAAAGAAUAUCCUUCUGCUGGUUGAUCUACAGAGCCCAAAUGUGGUGCAUAAUGCUCAAGAAGUCUCAAACCCUUUGUGAAAGAAUCAGAUGAUAACCUCUACUUUACAUCCACCAUUCAAUCAUUAAAACAACAUAUGCUGUAGUUAACAGGAAUGUUGUUGCUAUUUGAAAAUCACCUCAGUAAUGUCAGUAAAGUACUAAAUAAUAGAAUCACAGAAUGGUGUGGGUUGGAAGAGAAUUUAAAGACCACCUAAUUCCAAUCUCUCCUGGGGCACGGACACCUCCCACUGGUUGCCCAAAGCCCCAUACAGUCUCUCCUUAAACACUUCUAGCAAUGGGGCAUCCAUAAUGCCUCUGGGCAACCUGUUCCAGUGCCUCACAACCCUCAUAGUAAAGAUUAUUUUCCUAAUGUCUAAUCUGAAUCUGCUUUCUUUUAGUGUAAAUCCACUAUCCCUUUCCUAUUGCUAUACUCCCUGGUAAAAGAGUCUCUCCCCAUAAGGAGUAGCUCACUGGAGUCAUGGUAUUUCUCCCAUUUGUACUGGGAAUAGAAAGUGGAUUGCUUUCAUGUCCAGAUGCUACUGAUCACUAUCAGAAAAAUACCAUCACUAUUACACUAAUUGCUAGUCUCAUCAAAAGGGUUACAGCUGAAUAGUGAAUGAAAUUGUUUCUGGUGGUUUGCAUG
This 1445-nucleotide long non-coding RNA is filed under the name Anas platyrhynchos platyrhynchos (common mallard). RNAcentral describes it as "lncRNA (ENSAPLG00000031128.1)". Lineage: Eukaryota; Metazoa; Chordata; Aves; Anseriformes; Anatidae. The record is from RNAcentral.